This is a long non-coding RNA of Dunckerocampus dactyliophorus (ringed pipefish), 8530 nucleotides long. RefSeq lists it as uncharacterized. The record is from RefSeq and is a predicted model, not a curated record. Lineage: Eukaryota; Metazoa; Chordata; Actinopteri; Syngnathiformes; Syngnathidae. The transcript is spliced from 4 exons.
GAACAUUACGCAGUCAGCACAUAGUGCGCAGCAGAAGGAGAAGAGCAGGAAACUUUCCAGAAAAAUAUGAAAACGUGUCUAAAUACUAUUUUUGUUGUCUGAAGAAAGUGCAAAGAAGGUAUUUUUGAUUUUCCACCGUGUUCCUGUUUUGGAGAUGUUUUAUUUUCUGGAACGGGACUUGGCCAAUUAGAUUGGGUUGAAGAACUAUCGCGAUAGAUCGACCUAAGAGAACAUGUGCAGGAGCACAUGUGCUUGAGAUAAAGAUGGCGAGCCACCCACGGAACCUAUGAACUGCGCAUGCGCCAGGACCAGUUCAGGAGCAACAAGCCCUCUGCUGACCGGUGCAUGGUACUACAACUGAAUGUUUUAGGUUGCUUGAACCUGACAUUAAUUUGGUCCUUCGAGCCAGAUACCAAAACACCUGAGGAUUCCAGCUGAGGAAACGACAACCAGAAAGACCGUGGCCACGGCAAACAGACCCUUUCCGGGACUGGCUCUCGUCUCACUGGCUGGAGUCUGAUGGUUGACGGUAUACCUCGGAGAGGGAAGACAACUUGGUGAGUAAUAUUUCCUUAGGGGGGAUUAAAAGAGAAUGAGUGAAACGUGUUUAAGAAAAGACAAGCAGAGUCAAUAAAACAGCUUUUACCCACAGGCCAUCAGGCUCCUCAACGAAGCACUCGCACACGCCGCACGCACACACUCAUAGCACUUUAUUUAUUUAUUUAUUUAUUUAUUUAUUUAUUUAUUUAUUUAUUUAUUUAUUUAUAUUGUUUACUUGUAUUAAUGUCUCUUCUGUAGUUGUUGCUUAAUUUAUUGGUAUAUAUGUUUAUGUGUUUAUGUUUCUUAUGUUCUUAUUCUUUCAUUUGUUUUAUUUCUUUUCUUGGGAUAAUGAACAGAAUAAGAUUUUCAUUGCAUGGUAUAACUGCUGUUUUACUAUGCACAUGACAAUAAAACUCUCUUGAAUCUUGUAUCUUGUAAAAGCCCGCUAGGCCUGCUUAGAGUGAAACCUUGUGAAUACUAGUCAAUGGCAAGUAAUUGAAGGACACCGAAUUCCGAUAAAUUCCGUGGUAAAGAUGGACACCGGAUUCCCAUAAAUUUUGUGGUAAAGAGGGAUGCUGGAUUCCGGCAAAUUCCGUGGUAAUAACAGGAUGGCGGAGUCCUAUGCGCAUUUAAAUUCCGUGUUGUGUGCUUGUGAGUGUGAGUGGAGACUAAGUUUCACUAGAAACUUAUCUCAUACCAAAGCGGUGAGAUUGGAAGUGGUGACUUGUUGUGGAAGCAGAGACAAGAAUUCUCCGCCCCCACCUGGGUAGAAGCUUGAGAAUUACCACAAUAAGAUCAUUUUUCACCACCUCACUGACAGAAAGAAAAACCCAGUUAUUAGAAUUCCCUAGGAAUUAACAUCAUAACUGGGACCAAAUUGAAUUAAAAUGGGAAAUGGAAAAAGUAAAACAAACUAUAAAGAUAACUUACAGAGUAAAGACUGGCGAUUCGUUGAAAAACAAGAUUCAACAAAGUUAAAAUACCUGGAUAAAUGGGUGUCUAAAUACGGGUAUGAUGGCCAAUAAAAUUCCCCAAAAAUAGUGUCGUUACAGGACUAGAUACUUUAGUGGAUGAAAAAUAAUGAUAAAAAGAAAAUAAUUAUAAAAAGAUGAAAAAAGAAGGAUAUGAAGAGACAGUUUUGGCUUAAUACAGCUCAAAAAAGAGAAGAAGGAGAAAAAGAAAAUAAAAACAAAAAAGAAACGUGUGUGUAAAAAGAAAAGAAAAAAGGAACAGCAAAGGUGGAAACAGAAGGUUGAGAAGUUAAAAAUAAGAGAGAAGGGACUGAGGAAGUGAAAGUUAAAGAUAGAGAAGAGGAUAAUAAGAUAGUAAAUGUUCAAAGGACUGAGUAAAGUAGGGAAGAAAGACAGCAAGGCAGACCCUCACUGGAUCCUCUCUUGCUGGUGUCUCCACCACGAUAUGAGGAGCAGUGUAGUGAUAUUACACAGCAGAGAACUGGAACACCGAGUGCAAGGCCUGAUCAACCGAACCACUCGACGUUUCCUAAAAAGAGCAGAUGACACCGCCAUGGGUAGAACUAAACAACAACUAGAUGAAACAUUUGAUGAUUACGGAGCCACAAUGAUAACGGUAUUUAAAACAAAGUGGCUAACGGGAUAAUGAUGACCCACAGGGUCGUUAUAACAACAGCUAAAAACUGCGUUACACGCUAAUUCAAAAGACGCUAUAAGAAAUUGGUUCUUCAAAUAUUGCAUACAUUUUGCAACAGGCAUGCUAGAAGAAUAUGUUAAACAUGGGGAAAGAAAAUGACAAAGGAAAAAUCUUAGGCUUAAAAAAUGAAGAUACCUUCAUAAAUGAAGAAGGUCAAAUAUACUUUCAAAGUAACGCACUAAACAGGAGGAUUUGGAAGAGGACAAUUUAGACAAAAUGCGUCAGGCUGUUGGUGUUGUGGAAAAGAAGGGCAUAUUGGACGCAAUUGUUAAAAAAUAAAUAAAUAAAUAAAAUUAAAAGUAAAUAAACACCAAGAAAUCAUACACUGUGUGACUAGGCCAGCCUGCUCCCACAGCAGAAGAAAGGGACACUUCUGAGUCAAUAAACAAAAACUUAGUGGAGCUCAAUUUACAAGAGCUGUAAAUCCUGCUGUGGUAGUACUUGUAGUACCACAAACAGUAUGGAAAGGCAUGUCAGUUGCCCAUUUUAUUGGUACCAAAAUGUCCUGUCAAUCUGCUGUGGAGAGAUGGCUUGUCAGCCCUGGGACUGGCUUUAGUUCCAACUAGUGAUGGAAACAUCAUUGUUAAAAGGCAACAUGUAAUAAAAGACUCAUUUGUAGUAAAAGCGGAAGAAUUCCCUUCCUACUAUUAUUCAUUGGACAUACCAAACAAACCACCUCAGAGUGUGGGAACCAAUCGUCUACGGGAAGGACAAGCGUUACUGCAAAAUAUUGAGGACACAAUGACUAGCAACAACUUACAUAUAACUCUGUACUACCGAGGUACUUUAGGGCCAAAUCCAGAAUAUGAAAAACAAUUGGCGCGAGCAACACCAGGAGUUGUACUCAUUGAUUACAUCUAUUCAGAUGGAUCAACUACUGCGAUAGCAGGAGUUCAAUUAAAAGACCUACAAACGCUGUAUCGACAGUGGGGAACACCACAUGUGUCACUCUACAAGGCAAAAGGUGAAAAAUGGAAAGAUUUAACAGAAAUAGUACAAUUGGGACAACAAACGACUGACUGGGUGCAAACACCUGAAGGAGUCGACAAAAGUGAUAUUACAGGUUUACUAAGGAAAGACAUAUUUUGGACUGUACAAGUACAAGGAGGACGACACCUUCAGAGUCCUGUAGAGUGACAGUAUGUGUUGACAGACGAGGAAGAAGAACAGCUCAAAACCAUACCUGAAACAUUGUGGUCACAGGGUCCAUCUGAUGUAGGUCAAAUUAAAGGAGCAUUACCAGUACACAUUAGAGUAAAAACAGAAUAUAGACCUUGUAUACGGCAAUAUGCUCUAAAGCCAGAUGCAUAUGAAGGUAUAAAGCCUGUAAUUGAUGAUUUAAUAAAAGCAAAAGGUAUAAUAGAAUGUCCAGAUUCACCAUGUAAUACUCCUAUUUUUCCAGUCAAGAAGGCUCUGCCUUCUGUUGGCUGGAGAAUGGUGCAAGACUUACAGGCGGUAAACAAUGCAGUGAUUCAAAGAGCACCAUGUGUACCUGAUGUACAUAUGCUUUUAAAUUCGUUAAGGCCUGAUGCCACUUAUUUUACAGUAGUGGAUAUAAGCAAUGCUUUCUCUUCAGUACCAGUAGAUAAAGAAAGCCAAUUCUGGUUUGCUUUUACCUUUGGAGGAAAACGUUACACCUAUACAAGGUUACCCCAAGGGUAUUGUGAAAGCCCCACUAUUUAUUCACAAGCCAUGACUGCUAGCAUGGCCAAGUUCAGUCCACUCAGGCAGCUGAAUUAGUUGCAUUAACGGAAUCCUGUAAAUUAAUGAAAGAUAAAACAGUAACUAUAUGCACCGAUAGCCAAUAUGCAUAUGCUACUGUGCACACAUUUGCCCAAUAUUGGAGAAGCAGGGGCACGGUAACAUUGACAGGCAAGCCAGAUACAGAUGCGCACCUGUUACAGGAGUUAUUAGAUGCUGUUUAAUUACCAUUAAAACUUGCAAUUUGUAAAUGUGCUGGACACACCAACGGGCACUAAUAAAACCACAAAAGGAAAUGCAUUUGCAGAUAACAUGACUAAAGUUACUGCUGGAAAUUAAAUGACCGUAUUGACAGCACCGCAACACCACCUAGAAAAUGAGGUUCUCAAAGGCAUGCAAUAACAAAUUCGUAGUCUGAAAUUAAAAUUUGGAAAAGAAAAGGGGCUACACUUAAAAAUGCCAUCUAUGUUGACCAAAAUUUGAAGCCUAUUUUUCCAAAAAUGUAUAUAAAUGGGAGGCUAUUUUGAGCCAUGGUGUGUCACAUGUCUCAACAGGAGGGAUGGUUAGUCAGAUACAUCAAUAUUUUACCACCUAUGGCUUUAAUUCAUAUUCAAAAAAUGUUUGUAGAGCCUGUCUAACAUGCGCAAAUCACAAUCUGAAAGGCAAUUUACGCCCGCGACGUGGUCAGUUUCCAACACCGCAAUAUCCUUUCCAGGUAAUACAUAUGGACUUCAUAGAGCUAAGCAAAAGCGAAGGAAAGAAAUUUUGUUUGGUCAUCAUAGAUGCAUUUUCUAAAUGGAUAGAACUCUUUCCAACAAAGCAUCCUGAUGCCUUGACGGUGGUAAAAGCACUACGUAAAGAUAUUAUACCACGAUAUGGUAUACCUGACACGAUUUAUAGUGACAAUGGCUCUCAUUUUGUAAACCGGAUAAUACAAAAAAUAGGAACAAUGUUCCAUAUUAACUUAAAAAAUCAUUGUGCUUACCACCCUCAAAGCGCAGGACUAGUGGAACGAAUGAAUGGAACAAUAAAAAAUAGACUCAAAAAGUGUAUGGAGGAAACAGGGAGACCUUGGACACAAAGUCUUGAUCUCGUUAAAUUAUAUAUUAAUAUAACUGCUUCAAAUGGAUUAACACCAUUUGAAAUUUUAUUUGGAAGACCAUAUAGAUUACCAUACUUCAAAAGUCAAUGGGAAGCUGAUGAUGACGCUAAUCUCGCUGACUAUACACUUGUUGGAAAGGCAAAAUAAUAUAUGUCAACCUGCAGAGGAUUCUACUGUCUCCCAGCAGGAAAUUCAGUUAGUUCAACCAGGAGAUUGGGUCCUCAUCAAAAGCAUCAAAAAGAAGCACUGGCAUUUACCCAAGUGGGAAGGUCCAAACUAAGUAUCAUUGACAACACAAACAGCCCUAAAAGUAACUGAAAGAUCAACAUGGAUUAAUUUGAAACAUUGUAAAAAGGUCCUUUCAGCAGAGAAACCCCGACGGGAAAGGUGAGCAAACGUCUGACAAUAAGGUGGGUGCAGACAUUUAGAGUCUGAAAAUACCUGACGGUCAGUGAAGAAAGUACAAGACACCAAUCCUAGUAGAGGCGGAACUCCUAAGGUUCUCUGUGAAAUGACGGUAAUAAGAGCAAAGUAUUUUGUAAGUGAUAGAUAACUAUUAUGUUCAUAAUGGACAUAGGGCUGCUUGUAUGGGAUCAGACUAAUAACCUCAAAAAUGCAGACACAGUUGCCACUAAUGUAACCCUACUAACAGAUAGGCCAAAGUGAAGCACAUCAAAGACAGUACAUGCACCAUGGAUUGUUAGUUGGGCGUAUAGAAAUUCUAUCCAUAUGACUAUUGGUCCGAACACAAGCACAGUGGUUAGGAGACAAGGAUCCUAUAUACAUUGAUGCCAUUGAUGUUCUCCGUGGGGUGCCUGAUGAAUAGAAAUUAGUAAAUUAGAUUGCGGCUGGAUGGGAAUCCAUAUUUCCAUGGAUUACCGUCAAUAAAAACGUAGACAGGAUUAACUACAUCCACUACAAUGUUCACAAAUUGGGAAAUUGGACACAAGUUGGAUUUGAAGCGGUCAAAGAACAACUUAAAGCCACGUCCCUGAUGGCUUACCAAAAUGGGAUUGCGGUGGACAUGUUGUUAACAAAGGAAGGAGGUGUGUGUGCAAUGUUUGGAGAACAAUGCUGUACCUUCAUUCCCAACAACACUGCUGCUGAUGGCAGCCUGACUCAGGCCAUUGAAGGCCUCCGCACCCUGAAUGGUAAGAUGAAGGAACACUCUGGAGUGGAAACCUCAUGGUGGGACAGUUGGCUUGAUAUGUUUGGCAAGUGCAAAUCCUUGGUGUCAUCUCUAUUGAUGUCAAGUGCUGUUUUUGCAGCAAUCGUAACCUUGUGUGGAUGUUGUGUUAUUCCCUGUGUGGGGGGUCUAUUUAACAAAAUGAUAAAUGCAGCUAUUUCACCCAUGGAAACUAAAAUGGCACAAAUGUAUUUGUUGUUGGAUCUGGAAGGGAACGAGAGAGAGAUGGAGACAGCUAUAGACAUGGAGGAUGAUCUCCAUUUGCCUGAUCUGUUUCCAGACCAGGUGACUAUGAGUAAAAGUCACAUUUGACUCUUGGUGUAAAUGUGUUUGUGUUCAUAUAAAAAACAAAUAAUAAUAAUAAUAAUUCUUGACUGAAAAUCCGAAAGGAAGUGGUUAUAGAAUGAUAUGAGAAUUUGAGCAAAUACAUGAUAAACAGGAGGGAAAUGUUGGAGAAAUGUAUAUAAAUGUUAUCAUAUAUUUGUCUUAAAGAAUGUAUCUUCCUUUGUUUGAACCACUAUAACCUCUGUAUGUGUGUGUGUCUGAGCAGUACAGUUUUAUGGGGCUACGAAGAAGAAGAUGAAGGAACUCCUCUUGACCGCAUGAGCGCUCAGCUGAUUUUGUUCCUCCCUUAGUCAUGAUUACUUGUUAUCUUUUCUAUGCACUCAUCCACAGAGACUCUUUGUAGAUCAAGAAGAACAAACAGGAACUGCUAAACAACAGAUGCUUGGAAUGUUCUGGUGUAACUGCUGCAUGUUUACAGAUUCACACUCUUGAUUGUUUGUUUAUGUGAACACACACACACCCCCACACACCCCCACAUACACAGUUAGAUACAGAUUGUAUUGUCACGUUGCAGCUGUUGUGCUCCCCCUCCCCUUAGAGCUGCAACGUGCUCUGUGUAACUAGGGAAUCCCCAACAGAAUAAAAGGGAGGAGAACGCAGAGUUUACUCAGAACGGAUCGAGGUUGUAAACUGAGUACAUUUCUGUCUGUUCUCCUCGCGAGUAAAAGCAAUCUUGUUGUCUUCUUUCUUCUUUCUUAUUGUGUUUAGAAUGUUUUAGGUUGCUUGAACCUGUAGGCCCCCAGAAAGGCUGGAUGGUUGCCUGGAGGGUGUGUUCCAAGCAACACUUGUCAGCCUUCCUGGUAACUUAUUGGCUCAACGUGAACAUGAAAAUGUCCAACAUUACAGGAUUUUAAAAGCAUGGCUUUUCAUCAACUUUUAUUUGAAACUUCUUCAAAGAUCCUGAGGGUCAUGGAACAAAAAAGUGGAGACCUCCUGCAGCGACGUACGACAGUUGUGCAAGAAGAUACGCCGCCGCAUGCCGGGCCUAGUCUGAGUCCUGACCUGAAUCCUUUUCAAAUGCGGUGGCAUGGCCUUAAAAAGGCGCUUCACGCUGGAAAACCUUCAAACUCUUCAGAUACUUCUUCAUCCAAUAGUUUUCCUCAUGGAGCAGUGAGGCACACACAUGGGAUGAUGAAGAGCAUCCCGCUUUUUUUACGCAAUACUUCCUAAUAGGCUUCUCUCUUGGAGACAAAGUGUCUGUAAGUCAUGUGCAACAAGAAUGAUAUGAUCCCUGUGUGGAUUGGGAACUUGUGUCCUACUUAGACAACACUGUUGUUUCAUUGGAACAUUAAUUACUGGAUGUCUAGCUUGGCCGUUGUCAACCAUCUGUAGUUGGAAAAAAGCAAUUUUGAAAUGUGAACAAUGUGAACAAUAAUAAUAGAAACCAAAUAUAGUGCUGACCAACUUAGUGUUGCACUUCCUGUGUUGCACGAUGCAUGUAAAACACCUGCUCAGGCCCAAUCAUCUCCAAGAACAUGUCAUGUUUCCAGCAGCUCUCCAAAAAUGUCCAAACUUUGAUCUGCAGCCUUUCUGAUGGUCCCAACUCUCCAGCACUCUGGAAUACUGUAGACUUUCCUGGACUGUAGAUGUCAUCCCUCCGCCUCGUCAGCCGGCUACAUAUAGAGCCACCACAGUCCUGAUUGGCAAGGGAGAACCCGCCCAUUGUGUUCUGUGUUCUGAUUGGCGUAUGUGUCCCACGGAUGUGUUUCACAAAUGAUCCAAUCCCAGGAACGUUUCAGUCUGGACGGGGCGUCAUUUUCAACUGUGAUGAAUUUUAUUCAUGAAUGGUUUGACAGCCGUAGUUUUCAGAGAAUUGAACAUGACGGUGUUCCAACUGUAUCCUUGAAUAUGAAGGUGUUCCAACUGUAUCCUUGAAUAUGAAGGUGUUCCAGCUGUAUCCUUGAACAUGAAGGUGUUCCAGCUGUAUCCUUGAAUAUGAAGGUGUUCCAACUGUAUCCUUGAACAUGACGGUGUUCCAGCUGUAUCCU